CUUAUUUGGCUUAAUUAGUGCCUUGCAUGUGUUAAUCUAGUGUUUGAUUGAUGAUUUGUGAAAAGAAAAUGAAUUUUUGGCCUAGCCAUGAAACUUUCGAAUUUUUGGGGAAAAAAUGCUUAAAUUGCUUAUUUGGUUUAUUUGCUAUCUUUUAUGUAUUGAUCUUGUGUUGAUUGUUGUUUUAAGGCCUUGCAUGUUAAGAUUUGGUGAUUGAUUGUUGAUCUAAGGUCUUGCAUGUUAAGAUCUAGUGAUUG
Molecule: long non-coding RNA, 254 nt
Filed under: Erythranthe guttata (spotted monkey flower)
Lineage: Eukaryota; Viridiplantae; Streptophyta; Magnoliopsida; Lamiales; Phrymaceae
Description: long non-coding RNA (EGUT_LNC002842)
Source: RNAcentral